Molecule: ribosomal RNA, 314 nt
Filed under: uncultured bacterium
Lineage: Bacteria
Description: bacterial SSU rRNA
Rfam family: Bacterial small subunit ribosomal RNA
Source: RNAcentral
UUUAUGGCUGUCGUCAGCUCGUGCUGUAGGGGGUUGGGUUAAGUCCCGCAACGAGCGCAACCCUUGCCCUUAGUUGCCACCGGUGAGUUUGGGCACUUUAAGGAGACUGCCGGUGACAAACCGGAGGAAGGUGGGGAUGACGUCAAGUCAUCAUGGCCCUUACGGGUAGGGCUACACACGUCAUACAAUGGUCGGUACAAAGGGUUGCCAAGCCGCGAGGGGGAGCCAAUCCCAAAAACCCGAUCGUAGUCCGGAUGGGAGUCUGCAACUGGACUCCGUGAAGUGGGAAUCGCUAGUAAUCGCGGUUCAGCAUG